RNAcentral lists this ribosomal RNA (492 nucleotides) under uncultured bacterium. RNAcentral describes it as "partial 16S ribosomal RNA". It matches the Rfam family "Bacterial small subunit ribosomal RNA", at positions 29 to 507 of the family's 1533-position model. The record is from RNAcentral.
AGUGAACGCUGGCGGUAGGCCUAACACAUGCAAGUCGAACGGCAGGACAGUAAGAGCUUGCUCUUACGGGUGGCGAGUGGCGGGCGGGUGAGGAAUACAUCGGAAUCUACUUUUUCGUGGGGGAUAACGUAGGGAAACUUACGCUAAUACCGCAUACGACCUACGGGUGAAAGCAGGGGAUCUUCGGACCUUGCGCGAUUGAAUGAGCCGAUGUCGGAUUAGCUAGUUGGCGGGGUAAAGGCCCACCAAGGCGACGAUCCGUAGCUGGUCUGAGAGGAUGAUCAGCCACACUGGAACUGAGACACGGUCCAGACUCCUACGGGAGGCAGCAGUGGGGAAUAUUGGACAAUGGGCGCAAGCCUGAUCCAGCCAUACCGCGUGGGUGAAGAAGGCCUUCGGGUUGUAAAGCCCUUUUGUUGGGAAAGAAAAGCAGCAGGUUAAUACCCCGCUGUUCUGACGGUACCCAAAGAAUAAGCACCGGCUAACUUCGUG